This is a small nuclear RNA of Grammomys surdaster, 126 nucleotides long. The record is from RefSeq and is a predicted model, not a curated record. NCBI's taxonomy places the organism in Eukaryota, Metazoa, Chordata, Mammalia, Rodentia, Muridae.
GUGUUGUACGAAAGGAAAGAUGGUUAGCACUCUCCUUGACAAGGAUGGAAGAGGCCCUUGGGCCUAACAACAUAUAUAUGGUUAAGGCAUUACCUUCAUGGUAUAUAGAAUUAAUCUGAAGUCUGU